GUGCCAGCAGCCGCGGUAAUACGUAGGUCCCGAGCGUUGUCCGGAUUUAUUGGGCGUAAAGCGAGCGCAGGCGGUUAGAUAAGUCUGAAGUUAAAGGCUGUGGCUUAACCAUAGUACGCUUUGGAAACUGUUUAACUUGAGUGCAAGAGGGGAGAGUGGAAUUCCAUGUGUAGCGGUGAAAUGCGUAGAUAUAUGGAGGAACACCGGUGGCGAAAGCGGCUCUCUGGCUUGUAACUGACGCUGAGGCUCGAAAGCGUGGGGAGCAAACAGGAU
Molecule: ribosomal RNA, 273 nt
Filed under: uncultured Streptococcaceae bacterium
Lineage: Bacteria; Bacillati; Bacillota; Bacilli; Lactobacillales; Streptococcaceae
Description: partial 16S ribosomal RNA
Rfam family: Bacterial small subunit ribosomal RNA
Source: RNAcentral